GUAGGUGGCAAGCGUUGUCCGGAAUUAUUGGGCGUAAAGCGCGCGCAGGCGGUCCUUUAAGUCUGAUGUGAAAGCCCACGGCUCAACCGUGGAGGGUCAUUGGAAACUGGGGGACUUGAGUACAGAAGAGGAAAGCGGAAUUCCAAGUGUAGCGGUGAAAUGCGUAGAGAUUUGGAGGAACACCAGUGGCGAAGGCGGCUUUCUGGUCUGUAACUGACGCUGAGGCGCGAAAGCGUGGGGAGCAAACAGGAUUAGAUACCCUGGUAGUCCACGCCGUAAACGAUGAGUGCUAAGUGUUAGGGGGUUUCCCGCCCCCUUAGUGCUGCAGCUAACCGCAUUAAGCACUCCGCCUGGGGAGUACGCCGCAAGGCUG
This 373-nucleotide ribosomal RNA is filed under the name uncultured organism. Its description in RNAcentral is "partial 16S ribosomal RNA". It matches the Rfam family "Bacterial small subunit ribosomal RNA", at positions 527 to 896 of the family's 1533-position model. The record is from RNAcentral.